Molecule: ribosomal RNA, 449 nt
Filed under: uncultured bacterium
Lineage: Bacteria
Description: bacterial SSU rRNA
Rfam family: Bacterial small subunit ribosomal RNA
Source: RNAcentral
UGGGGAAUAUUGGACAAUGGGGGCAACCCUGAUCCAGCGAUGCCGCGUGAGUGAAGAAGGCCUUCGGGUCGUAAAGCUCUUUAGGUUGGGAAGAAGGAUAUGAGGUGAAUAGCCUUGUAUUUUGACGGUACCGACAGAAUAAGCACCGGCAAACUCUGUGCCAGCAGCCGCGGUAAUACAGAGGGUGCGAGCGUUAAUCGGAAUUACUGGGUGUAAAGGGCGCGUAGGCGGCAAGAUAUGUGUGAUGUGAAAGCCCCGGGCUUAACCUGGGAAGUGCAUUGCAAACUGUCUGGCUAGAGUAUAUGAGAGGGUGGCGGAAUUUCCGGUGUAGCGGUGAAAUGCGUAGAGAUCGGAAGGAACGUCAAUGGCGAAGGCAGCCACCUGGCAUAAUACUGACGCUGAGGCGCGAAAGCGUGGGGAGCGAACAGGAUUAGAUACCCCUGUAGUCC